RNAcentral lists this long non-coding RNA (1092 nucleotides) under Dicentrarchus labrax (European seabass). RNAcentral describes it as "lncRNA (ENSDLAG00005024884.2)". Lineage: Eukaryota; Metazoa; Chordata; Actinopteri; Moronidae. The record is from RNAcentral.
CAUUGCUCACGGUUUACCAAAAUUUGGUUCAACCUGUGGCCUUCUCCUUCCCUUCUCAGCCUUCUCUUGGGAUUUGAGAGCUGUACAGUGAAUGUUAAUGUCAACCCUGCCUCUGACUGACACUCAAUUCUUUUUGUUUUUUCAUUCUCCGGCACCUGUGCUUGGCUGUCAGACAGUUCAGAGCGUGACUCGGCUGCCAUCCCUGCAGAGGAACAACAGGCUCUGUGACAAAGGUUCCCACGACGCUGCCCGGGGGACCCCAAAUGUGGAGGCAGGGAAGGGAUGGAAGAAAGCUAUGAGACAUUUGAAGAGGAGUUAGGGCCACCAAGAGCAGAUCCUCCUCCACAGAAGCCUGUUCGACAGAUCCGCAGGCCAGAAAUGUACGCCACGAGGAAAGUCAGAGAGGAAAUGCCUCCAGUUUCACAGCAACCAAGAGGAGAACUCCGGACUUCACCCCGGGAACCCAGCUUCCCCAGAACAACGUCCUUGCGCAAAGCAAUGUCCAUCCAAAACCUGAGCCAGAUUGAAACGCCGUGGGAGAAUGUCACCCUGAACCGCUGUCUGUUUGUGGCCAUUACCAUCCUGGUGCUCACCUCAGGCUUUCAGAGGCUUCAUGAAACUCUACGUGGUCAGGGGCCAGCGGAGGAGGAGGAACUUGGGCUGGCAGUGAGACGGUCGGGCUCAUUGCGACACAGAAGACAACCACCAGAGCCCGAGACAACUCUAUGGGAAGUCAUGUUCUGGUGGCUGCCAGACCUUGAUGAUGAAGAGGAUGAGGAGGAAGAGGAUGAUGAAGAGGGUAAAAGAAGAAAGUCAAAGAGCCGAGCAACGGCACCGGCAACAAGAGGUCUCAGAAACAAGCCACUGCCAGUCAAAAAACUCACGAAGCCAAGAGAAGGGAAAUUAAAAGACAGGAGAGCCAAAAAAGACAGGGAUGAAGAAAUCCAAGACAAGAAAGAGAGAGAUAAAACAGAAGAACCCAAAGAAGCAGCGGGUGAUGAAGAUGAGGAUGAAGUAAAGGAGGAGGCAGUGCCCAAGAAGAAGAAAAAGUUGGAGGAACAGAAAGAGAAGAAAAAGAUUCAAAAGGGAUGA